Molecule: ribosomal RNA, 465 nt
Filed under: uncultured bacterium
Lineage: Bacteria
Description: partial 16S ribosomal RNA
Rfam family: Bacterial small subunit ribosomal RNA
Source: RNAcentral
GACGAACGCUGGCGGCGUGCUUAACACAUGCAAGUCGAACGGAAAGGCCCUGCUUGCAGGGUACUCGAGUGGCGAACGGGUGAGUAACACGUGGGUGAUCUGCCCUGCACUUCGGGAUAAGCCUGGGAAACUGGGUCUAAUACCGGAUAGGAGCCAUUUUUAGUGUGAUGGUUGGAAAGUUUUUUCGGUGUAGGACGAGCUCGCGGCCUAUCAGCUUGUUGGUGGGGUAAUGGCCUACCAAGGCGGCGACGGGUAGCCGGCCUGAGAGGGUGGACGGCCACAUUGGGACUGAGAUACGGCCCAGACUCCGACGGGAGGCAGCAGUGGGGAAUAUUGCACAAGGGGCGCAAGCCGGAUGCAGCGACGCCGCGUGGGGGAUGACGGCCUUCGGGUUGUAAACUCCUUUCGCUAGGGACGAAGCUUUUUGUGACGGUACCUAGAUAAGAAGCACCGGCUAACUACGUG